Molecule: ribosomal RNA, 582 nt
Filed under: Triticum aestivum (bread wheat)
Lineage: Eukaryota; Viridiplantae; Streptophyta; Magnoliopsida; Poales; Poaceae
Description: partial small subunit ribosomal RNA
Source: RNAcentral
AUGAUCUCAAAUUCUCAAUCCUUGGCUGCAUUGCAGGCUGGGAGCAAGGAGAACAUUGUCCCUAGUGUCCAGAUUUUGGCCAUAGAGUUGCACUUUGGUGUUCGCGAUGCUGUCAAGAAAGUAUCUGGUUUUCUCAGAGGCUUCCCUAACCUCGAGACGCUCCAUGUCCAGUCGGUCCGCGUAUCUGAAAAGUCCACUGGCAAGGUCAAUCUCAAGUUCUGGCAGGAGGGCGGCCCCAUCAAAUGCGUCGUGGAGGGCAUGAAGAAGGUGUUCUUCUAUGAGUUCCGAGGGUCAAAAAGCGAGGUUGCUUUCCUCAAGUUUAUCGCGGAGAGAGGUCGCGUGCUGGAGCAGAUGGUGGUUGUGGUGGCCAUUGAGUGUUUCUCCUCAGGGGAUAAUGUGAAUGCCAAGCUGAAGCCUCUGGCCAGUGCGAAAUGGAAGAGCAAGACUUGCAAACUACAGCUCUUCAAGACCACGCUCACUGCCGGGGGAGGUCCUGCUUACAGCCACCCGCAGCUUCUGAUUUUGGAUGUGCUGACCCUUUUGACCUCGAGUACUACGACAAAGCAGAAAGGAUCUCUGUAA